AAAAAAAGAAAAGAAAAAGGUAUAAGGGCACCUCCGCUCCGUCUUCGCCGCUCUCUUGGAAGAAAAAGAAAUAAGAACGAGAGAAAAAAAGAGGAGAGAAAGAGGAACAGAGAAAAAAGUAUAUAGGAUAUUUUGGUCAGUUUGCUGAAAAAGCGGACCGAAUCUGCAAAAGCCAAAAAGAUGGCCCGAUUUUGUAAAAGCCCAAAAUAAGUGGAUUUUUUAUGCAAAUUGGCCAUUUUUUUAUCCAGUUAAUAUAUCUAAAAUAUGAUAAAAAUUGAUUAGUUAAGUUUUAAUAUUUUUUAUUUAGUUUGUUCAUUUAAAAUAUGAUAAAAGUUGAUUAAUUAAAUAUUAAUAUUUUUUUUACUUUAUAAUUUUUAUUAUUUAUUACUAUAAUUUAUGUAUAAGAAAAUUAUUUAGUUGUUUUAAAUUAAUUUUAAUUAUAUAAAAAUAUACUUAUAUUAUUUUUAUUUAUUAAAAUAUUUAUUAUUUAUAUAUAAAUUAUAUUUUUACAUAAUACACUUCCUACCAAAUAAAUAACAGAACUAAUGAAACUUUACUUCCAUAGCUACGAAACAAACAGCGGAAAAGAAGUAGUUUUCACCGAAUUUCACUUCAACUCAAAGUCCACUUCAACCUAAAGUCCAGUUUAAGUGAGGUGUCCGAGGUUUCGUUUU
Molecule: long non-coding RNA, 674 nt
Filed under: Ananas comosus (pineapple)
Lineage: Eukaryota; Viridiplantae; Streptophyta; Magnoliopsida; Poales; Bromeliaceae
Description: long non-coding RNA (ACOM_LNC010719)
Source: RNAcentral